UGCAGAGGACAAUUGGUACAU
This 21-nucleotide non-coding RNA is filed under the name Caenorhabditis elegans. The record is from RNAcentral. Lineage: Eukaryota; Metazoa; Nematoda; Chromadorea; Rhabditida; Rhabditidae.